GGCCGAUAGAUGUUUCAUAUUUCAUUGAGCUUGUGGAUAUGGUCUUAAAAUACACCAAAUAUCAUGAAUAUCAUUUUUUGAAUAAAGAAAUUCUAUUAUUUAAGCCUUUCCCUUGAAGAGAUACCCCGGGCAUUCUUCGAGGAAGGCUUCCCCGAAUGCUACUGGGCCUUCCCCGAGUGCAUUUGACACUCGGGGAAGCCACUGCUUCCCGUAGUGGUUGUGUGUGUGUCAGUUCUCCCAAAGCUUCAGGUUCCCUGUGAGAGGGAGGAAUAUAUUUACAUAUAUACAAUAGUCGUGAUCUUUAUGUCUUGUAUUUGG
Molecule: long non-coding RNA, 318 nt
Filed under: Sorghum bicolor (sorghum)
Lineage: Eukaryota; Viridiplantae; Streptophyta; Magnoliopsida; Poales; Poaceae
Description: long non-coding RNA (SBIC_LNC009550)
Source: RNAcentral